This 292-nucleotide ribosomal RNA is filed under the name uncultured bacterium. Its description in RNAcentral is "partial 16S ribosomal RNA". RNAcentral also lists the same sequence under 1 other name. The record is from RNAcentral.
GGACUACAGGGGUAUCUAAUCCUGUUUGCUCCCCACGCUUUCGCACCUCAGUGUCAGUGUCAGUCCAGGUAGUCGCCUUCGCCACUGGUGUUCCUUCCAAUAUCUACGCAUUUCACCGCUACACUGGAAAUUCCACUACCCUCUACCGCACUCUAGCCAGACAGUUUUGGAUGCAGUUCCCAGGUUGAGCCCGGGGAUUUCACAUCCAACUUAUCAAGCCACCUACGCGCGCUUUACGCCCAGUAAUUCCGAUUAACGCUUGCACCCUUCGUAUUACCGCGGCUGCUGGCAC